UAGGGUUAAAAACAGGGAUUUCCAUGAAAAUAAGCGAUAUUUUAGGGAAAAACAGGGAUUUCUAUGAAAAUAAGCGAUAUUUUAGGGGAAAAAACAGGGAUUUCUAUGAAAAUAAGCGAUAUUUUAGGGGAAAAACAGGGAUUUCUAUGAAAAUAAGCGAUAUUUUAGGGUUAAAAACAGGGAUUUCUAUGAAAAUAAGCGAUAUUUUAGGGUUAAAAACAGGGAUUUCUAUGAAAAUAAGCGAUAUUUUAGGGGAAAAACAGGGAUUUCUAUGAAAAUAAGCGAUAUUUUAGGGUUAAAAACAGGGAUUUCCAUGAAAAUAAGCGAUAUUUUAGGGUUAAAAACAGGGAUUUCCAUGAAAAUAAGCAAUAUUUUAGGGUUAAAAACAGGGAUUUCUAUGAAAAUAAGCGAUAUUUUAGGGUUAAAAACAGGGAUUUCCAUGAAAAUAAGCGAUAUUUUAGGGGAAAAACAGGGAUUUCCAUGAAAAUAAGCGAUAUUUUAGGGUUAAAAACAGGGAUUUCUAUGAAAAUAAGCGAUAUUUUAGGUUAAAAACAGGGAUUUCUAUGAAAAUAAGCGAUAUUUUAGGGUUAAAAACAGGGAUUUCUAUGAAAAUAAGCGAUAUUUUAGGGUUAAAAACAGGGAUUUCUAUGAAAAUAAGCGAUAUUUUAGGUUAAAAACAGGGAUUUCUAUGAAAAUAAGCGAUAUUUUAGGGUUAAAAACAGGGAUUUCUAUGAAAAUAAGCGAUAUUUUAGUGGGAAAAACAGGGAUUUCUAUGAAAAUAAGUGAUAUUUUAGGGUUAAAAACAGGGAUUUCCAUGAAAAUAAGCGAUAUUUUAUGUUAAAAACAGGGAUUUCUAUGAAAAUAAGCGAUAUUUUAGGGGAAAAACAGGGAUUUCUAUGAAAAUAAGCGAUAUUUUAUGUUAAAAACAGGGAUUUCUAUGAAAAUAAGCGAUAUUUUAGGGGAAAAACAGGGAUUUCUAUGAAAAUAAGCGAUAUUUUAGGGGAAAAACA
Molecule: long non-coding RNA, 1010 nt
Organism: Tympanuchus pallidicinctus (lesser prairie-chicken)
Lineage: Eukaryota; Metazoa; Chordata; Aves; Galliformes; Phasianidae
Exons: 3
Source: RefSeq, a predicted model, not a curated record